UUCCUAUAAGCAAGGGACUCCAUCUGCCCAAAAAAAAUAUGGCAUCCACAACACAGUUAGAACAAGAAGACCAUCAAAUAUGAAAAAGAAAAAAUAAAAAAUCAACUGUUCCAGACAUUCAAAGAGUAGGCAAUACUACAUAGAAAGCUUUAAAUGACUUUACUAAGCACUUUCACAUUAUUAAAAAUAAUAUAAAUGCAGAAUAGACAACAGGUAUGGUUCAAAACUUUUGCACACAAAAGUAACCAUCACUUUCAUAUCUUACCCAGAAAGUUGCCAAGUUUCAACUACUAUAACAUGUGAAAGCUAAAAGCAACAGCUGUGGAAUAGAUUAAAGCAACCAAACUAUAGCAUGUCAGUCAGCAAACUUAAAAAUUCUAAAACAAAUAAUGCAACUUCAAAUUUUUAAGUGCAGAUAUGCGAGAGUCGAUCAUAAUAAUAAUAAAUAAAUAAAUAUUCUUUCAAAUUCCAUGUUCUUAGUUAUUGUAUACACAUAACUGCUAUUUUGUACAGUCUCACUCAAUUGUUCGAUGCCAAAACCUUAGUCAAAUUGUCUUCCUCACCAACUCAAAAUAAAAAUUAACAAAACCAUUACUAAAACUAGAGAUACUUGAGAAUUUUGCUGAACAAGCUACAACAUGAUCAAUUAGCUGCUUGGAUGAAGACAGAGCAGAGUAAGUUUUCCCAAAUCCAGUUUCCUCAUACUUCCCUUCGUUAUUACCCUCAACUCCAACCUCUGUUUCCAUGGAAAAUCCACCACAUGCAACUCAAAUACACAAACAUAGAAGUAUGUGAGUGGUGAAGAAUGAAUCGCCUCAGUUGGAUGAAACUGAAGAAAUCAUGAAAGUGAACAAUUAUGGAAGCUCAAGCGACUAAGCAAUCGAAUGAAUUGAGAGAGAGAGAGAGAGAAACUUAC
Molecule: unclassified non-coding RNA, 916 nt
Filed under: Hevea brasiliensis (rubber tree)
Lineage: Eukaryota; Viridiplantae; Streptophyta; Magnoliopsida; Malpighiales; Euphorbiaceae
Source: RNAcentral